This 468-nucleotide ribosomal RNA is filed under the name uncultured bacterium. RNAcentral's name for it is "partial 16S ribosomal RNA". It matches the Rfam family "Bacterial small subunit ribosomal RNA", at positions 28 to 507 of the family's 1533-position model. The record is from RNAcentral.
GACGAACGCUGGCGGCGCGCCUAACACAUGCAAGUCGAACGGAGUCAAGAGGAGCUUGCUUUUCUUGACUUAGUGGCGAACGGGUGAGUAACGCGUGAGUAACCUGCCCUGGAGUGGGGGACAACAGUUGGAAACGACUGCUAAUACCGCAUAAGCCCACGGAUCCGCAUGGAUCUGCGGGAAAAGGAUUUAUUCGCUUCAGGAUGGACUCGCGUCCAAUUAGCUAGUUGGUGAGGUAACGGCCCACCAAGGCGACGAUUGGUAGCCGGACUGAGAGGUUGAACGGCCACAUUGGGACUGAGACACGGCCCAGACUCCUACGGGAGGCAGCAGUGGGGGAUAUUGCACAACGGGGGAAACCCUGAUGCAGCGACGCCGCGUGGAGGAAGAAGGUUUUCGGAUUGUAAACUCCUGUCGUUAGGGACGAUAAUGACGGUACCUAACAAGAAAGCACCGGCUAACUACGUG